AGUAACGCGUGAGGAACCUGCCUUCCAGAGGGGGACGAACAGUUGGAAACGACUGCUAAUACCGCAUGAUGCGUUGGAGCCGCAUGACUCCGACGUCAAAGAUUUAUCGCUGGAAGAUGGCCUCGCGUCUGAUUAGCUAGUUGGUGAGGUAACGGCCCACCAAGGCGACGAUCAGUAGCCGGACUGAGAGGUUGGCCGGCCACAUUGGGACUGAGAUACGGCCCAGACUCCUACGGGAGGCAGCAG
This 246-nucleotide ribosomal RNA is filed under the name uncultured bacterium. RNAcentral's name for it is "partial 16S ribosomal RNA". It matches the Rfam family "Bacterial small subunit ribosomal RNA", at positions 109 to 354 of the family's 1533-position model. The record is from RNAcentral.